AGUAAGAUAAGCUAAUACUAAGCUAGUGGGCCCAUAACCCAAAAAUGACUAUCCUCUCUUACUA
Molecule: transfer RNA, 64 nt
Filed under: Sinosolenaia oleivora
Lineage: Eukaryota; Metazoa; Mollusca; Bivalvia; Unionida; Unionidae
Description: tRNA-Met
Source: RNAcentral